CACUUGAAACCUCUCUUUAUGGCUUAGGCCCUGCAAACAAAGGCCUUCUGGUUAGGAGACAUUCUCCCUUUGGUCACCAGGACUUUUCCUGAAAUUAGUCGAUGCCCCUGGGCCUCACGUUACGUACGUAUGGCUGGCAUGUCAGUGAAUGCUGGCUAAACUUCAGAGCAGCCAGGACGACACCCAGUUAGCCCCAUAAAAGAAUGAGGCCUUGGCUUUUCUCUCUGAGGCAUGAUGGGACAUGUGCCUGGUACCUGCUAGUGCGGUCACACCUGAGAAACCUGCUGCUGGAACAGCUGCCUUCCUGCUGUGCCGUGCUCUGCUGGGAGAGGCUACAGCCAGGGCCUCCACUUUCCUACUUGUCUGGCUUGAGAUCCCUCUGGUUGGCAAAUCAAUCCUGAAUCAGACUCAAGCUCAUCUUUACGAAGCCACCGUGUGCCAGGCGUGUGCCAAGCUCUCAGCAUGGUGGUUACGAGCAGAGGCUCAGGAGCCUGACCAUCUGGGGUUGGCACCCUUGGCAAAGUUGUUUGUACUCUGUCCACAGUUUCCCCAUCUGAAAGAUGGGGAUGAUAAUUGUACCCACUCAAUAAUAUUGCUGUGAGUAGAAAUUGAGGUGAUCCAUGUAAAAUUGCCCAGCACAUGGCAAGUAUUCAGUAAAUGUCAGCUGUUGUGUUUCAACCCCAUUGCCUCACAAUGGUGCAGAGAGAUGGGUGCCACUGUUGCCUAUUCACAGAUGGGAAAGCCAAAGCUUAGAGAGCCUCCGGGAGUUGCCAGGAGUUACAUUACUAGGAUUGGAAAUCUAGAUAGUUGUGGCAUGAGCAUUCUUUUUUAUAUUCCCAUGGCACAGAGGGAAUACUAGAAGCAAAGCAUCCGUGGUCUCUAAAUCAUACAUAAACUCCAGGCCAGCUUAACUAGUGGCUUCCAUCAGAGGCCAAAGAACCAUGUCUUGUUUCGAACGGAGGAACCAUGGGGAGUGUGGGGCCUGUGAACGGGACAGCACUUUCUCAGUCACUCUCUAACACACAUGUGCGCUGGCACUCAGCACCAGUCAAGUGAGGAUGGAGAAAGACCGUGACACUUCGGAGUCCCUCGACCAGCUGGGCUUGACAAACGGAUUUGAUGGCUGAGCUGCAGUGGCCAUACUGGACCAUGAGACAACUUUGAGGACAGAAGCCAGAAGUAAGGAUGGUGGGGCAGAGAAAUACAAAAAGCCUGGGUUCUGAUGAAAUCAUGGGACUUCCAAAGGAUUUCUCUAGUCUUACUUUUGAGCUUCUUAUGUGUGGCCUAUUUCUACGACCUCUGAAACCUUAACCAAACUUUACUAAAGUUAGGAAAGCCUU
Herpailurus yagouaroundi (jaguarundi) is the source of this 1340-nucleotide long non-coding RNA. RefSeq lists it as uncharacterized. Lineage: Eukaryota; Metazoa; Chordata; Mammalia; Carnivora; Felidae. The transcript is spliced from 2 exons. The record is from RefSeq and is a predicted model, not a curated record.